CAAUAGCAUAUAUUAACGUUGUUGCAGUUGAAAAGCUCGUAGUUGAACUUUUGGUAGGAGCGACCUGGCCUUGGGCGCAUGCCCUUGUUUGCCGUGUGUCGUAUCUGGCCAUCCUUUUCCGUUUCGGCGGGAAUCCUUUACUGUGAGUAAACUGGAGUGCUCAAAACAAGACGUUUGUUUGGUACAUUAAAGCAUGGAAUAAUAAGAUAGGACCUGGUUACUAUUUUGUUGGUUUGCAUAGCUAGGUAAUGAUUAACAGGGACAGUUGGGGGUAUUCGUAUUUAAUUGUCAGGGGUGAAAUUCUUGGAUUUAUGAAAGACGAACGACUGCGAAAGCAUUUACCAAGGAUGUUUUCAUUA
Molecule: ribosomal RNA, 359 nt
Filed under: uncultured eukaryote
Lineage: Eukaryota
Description: partial 18S ribosomal RNA
Rfam family: Eukaryotic small subunit ribosomal RNA
Source: RNAcentral